This is an RNA transcript of Glycine soja, 2396 nucleotides long. It is a transcript of the gene named serine/threonine-protein kinase STY46-like, with no coding region annotated. The record is from RefSeq and is a predicted model, not a curated record. The transcript is spliced from 18 exons. Lineage: Eukaryota; Viridiplantae; Streptophyta; Magnoliopsida; Fabales; Fabaceae.
UUUCUUUUCCUAAUAUCUCGCCUUUUUCGCUUCCGUGCCCCUGCUCAGCGGCAAGGCAACCUCAACUUGGACGAAAUUACCCUCCAUCCCCCCUUAAAAUCACACACACCGAACCCUUUUUUUUUAUUUUUCCACUCACUCCACAGUCAACUCCAUGCGCGCUUGAAUGGAUUUGGUGGAAGGCGUUGGAGAGAGUUCCUCGCCGCCGCGCGCCUUCAGCGGCUGCAGCAACUACGACGUCCAUAACAACGUCUACAACCGCCUCGUUGAAACCGGCCACGACCAAGCCGUUUCCAACCCCAACUUCCGCGAACACUUGGAGGCUCACUUCAAUCGCUUGCCACCGAGUUAUGGACUGGAUGUGAAUAUCGAUAGAGCUGAAGAUGUUCUGUUGCAUCAAACCCUUCUUGCUUUGGCUAAGGACCCUCACAAGCGCCCUGUAUACCAUAUACGCUUCCUCGAGAAUAUUUCAACUAGAACAGAUGGUGAAGAUGAACAAAUUUUAAGUACUCAUUAUAGCCCUGGAUCAACUUCUCAUGCAACAAAUGGGGGAGCUGUAUCACCUGGUAAAAGUAAGAUGAGGGAUAUUGCAAAUGAGUUUGAGCCUUGCUCGAAGCUCGAGGACCUAAAUUUGGAUGUCAGAAAGAACUCAAAGGUGACAGAGGAAAAAUUUCUCACUGACAAUUUUUUCCAGAGGCACGAACAUUCAAGUGUCCCUGUUCAUGAAAUAAUAUUUUCCACUGUUGACAAGCCAAAGCUCUUAAGCCAGCUGUCCGCUUUGCUGUCUGAUAUUGGACUUAACAUACGUGAAGCUCAUGUUUUCUCCACAACUGAUGGCUAUUCCCUUGACGUGUUUGUGGUAGAUGGAUGGCCAGUAGAGGAAACAGAUGAUUUGUAUGAUGCUAUGGAAAAAGCUGUAGCAAGAAGCGAGGGGUCAUGGUCUCGUUCUUCAAAUUCUCAUUCAGCUGUGGAGAAAGCCUUAGCAACUGAAGGAAAAUCAGGAGAUUGGGAAAUAGAUAGGAGGUUGCUAAAGUUAGGAGAAAAAAUAGCAUCUGGAUCCUCUGGAGAUUUGUAUCGUGGAGUUUAUCUUGGUGAAGAUGUUGCUGUUAAGGUUCUGAGAUCAGAGCAAUUGAAUGAUGCUUUAGAGGAUGAGUUUGCUCAAGAAGUGGCCAUUCUGAGGCAGGUGCAUCAUAAAAAUGUUGUUCGUUUCAUUGGUGCAUGUACAAAGUGUCCACAUUUGUGCAUAAUAACAGAGUAUAUGCCUGGAGGAAGUCUGUAUGAUUACAUGCAUAGAAAUCAUAAUGUCUUGGAGCUGUCUCAAUUACUAAAUUUUGCAAUUGAUGUCUGCAAGGGUAUGAAGUAUUUGCAUCAAAACAACAUAAUUCACAGAGAUCUGAAGACGGCUAAUUUGCUGAUGGAUACGCACAAUGUUGUUAAAGUCGCAGAUUUUGGAGUUGCUCGAUUCCUAAAUCAGGGGGGAGUGAUGACAGCAGAAACUGGAACAUAUAGAUGGAUGGCACCAGAGGUUAUAAACCAUCAGCCUUAUGAUCAGAAAGCAGAUGUAUUCAGUUUUUCCAUUGUACUGUGGGAAUUAGUGACGGCAAAGGUACCAUAUGACACCAUGACUCCACUACAAGCUGCCUUGGGUGUGAGACAGGGUCUGCGUCCAGAACUUCCGAAGGAUGGGCACCCUAAACUAUUAGAGUUGAUGCAAAGAUGUUGGGAAGCAAUUCCAAGCCACCGUCCAUCCUUUAAUGAGAUAACCAUUGAACUUGAAAAUCUUUUGCAAGAAAUGGAGAAAGAUUCAGAAGCGAAUGGUGCUUGACUAAGCACGAACUAAUAUAUAUUCCAGACGGCUGGAUGGAUCUGACCUUUUUUUCCCUCCCUCUGGCCGCUGUCGAGUUUUUCUCACGUUCCCUUGUGGCACCGAGGGAGAAAGCAGUUCGCAGAAGUUGUGAUCGUUACAAAGUGAGAAAAUGUAAAGAGGCCUCUGAGCUUCUACUCUUACCAAUAUAAGAACCUGCGCAGCAUAUCUGUGUUCUCAAGAGCAGAACAAUGGCCAAUCAGGAAUUGGGCUUAUAUUACCCGGAAAGCAGAUUCGUCUUCGCUCGACCCUGUUGUAGAUGUCGGAUGUGAAAUUCUCUACUUCUUGGCCCCAAGACAGGGGAGGUCUUGUUCGCAGAUCUUACAAAGAGUCACAUUGUGACUUCCUCGUUUAGAUUUGGAUUAGUUAGCAAUUUAGGAUCAUGUUUUUGUCUUUCGUUGAAGAUAACUUUUGCUCCAAUCUUCCCUACAUCUGUUUCCAAUAACAUAACUAUAUGAAAGGUUUUUGUUUUUUUGGUGAUGAAUAUAUGAAUUUUCAGUGAUUUCAACGAGAUUAUGUGUUGAUGUUGUUC